RNAcentral lists this ribosomal RNA (497 nucleotides) under uncultured bacterium. RNAcentral's name for it is "partial 16S ribosomal RNA". It matches the Rfam family "Bacterial small subunit ribosomal RNA", at positions 28 to 507 of the family's 1533-position model. The record is from RNAcentral.
GAUGAACGCUGGCGGCGUGCCUAAUACAUGCAAGUCGAGCGAACAGACGAGGAGCUUGCUCCUCUGACGUUAGCGGCGGGCGGGUGAGUAACACGUGGAUAACCUACCUAUAAGACUGGGAUAACUUCGGGAAACCGGAGCUAAUACCGGAUAAUAUAUUGAACCGCAUGGUUCAAUAGUGAAGGACGGUUUUGCUGUCACUUAUAGAUGGAUCCGCGCCGCAUUAGCUAGUUGGUAAGGUAACGGCUUACCAAGGCAACGAUGCGUAGCCGACCUGAGAGGGUGAUCGGCCACACUGGAACUGAGACACGGUCCAGACUCCUACGGGAGGCAGCAGUAGGGAAUCUUCCGCAAUGGGCGAAAGCCUGACGGAGCAACGCCGCGUGAGUGAUGAAGGUCUUCGGAUCGUAAAACUCUGUUAUUAGGGAAGAACAAAUGUGUAAGUAACUAUGCACGUCUUGACGGUACCUAAUCAGAAAGCCACGGCUAACUACGUG